Molecule: ribosomal RNA, 488 nt
Filed under: uncultured bacterium
Lineage: Bacteria
Description: bacterial SSU rRNA
Rfam family: Bacterial small subunit ribosomal RNA
Source: RNAcentral
CGCUGGCGGCAUGCUUUACACAUGCAAGUCGAACGGUAACAGGCCGCAAGGUGCUGACGAGUGGCGAACGGGGUGAGUAAUGCAUCGGAACGUGCCCAAUCGUGGGGGAUAACGCAGCGAAAGCUGUGCUAAUACCGCAUACGAUCUGUGGAUGAAAGCGGGGGACUAAGCAGCAAUGUUUGGCCUCGCGCCUUUGGAGCGGCCGAUGUCAGAUUAGGUAGUUGGUGGGGUAAAGGCCUACCAAGCCGACGAUCUGUAGCUGGUCUGAGAGGACGACCAGCCACACUGGGACUGAGACACGGCCCAGACUCCUACGGGAGGCAGCAGGUGGGGUAAUUUUGGACAAUGGGGGCAACCCUGAUCCAGCAAUGCCGCGUGAGUGAAGAAGGCCUUCGGGUUGUAAAGCUCUUUUGUCAGGGAAGAAACAGCAGCUCUAACACAGUCUGCGAAUGACGGUACCUGAAGAAUAAGCACCGGCUAACUACGUG